RNAcentral lists this ribosomal RNA (251 nucleotides) under uncultured bacterium. RNAcentral's name for it is "partial 16S ribosomal RNA". It matches the Rfam family "Bacterial small subunit ribosomal RNA", at positions 524 to 776 of the family's 1533-position model. The record is from RNAcentral.
UACGGGGGGGGCAAGCGUUGUUCGGAAUUACUGGGCGUAAAGGGCUCGUAGGUGGCCAACUAAGUCAGACGUGAAAUCCCUCGGCUUAACCGGGGAACUGCGUCUGAUACUGGAUGGCUUGAGUUUGGGAGAGGGACGCGGAAUUCCAGGUGUAGCGGUGAAAUGCGUAGAUAUGGAGGAACACCGGUGGCGAAGGCGGCGUCCUGGACCAACACUGACACUGAGGAGCGAAAGCCAGGGGAGCAAACGGG